AGAUAUCAAAAAACUUUCAACUGAGAAAAUGUUUAACAAAUAAAACACUACAAUUCUUCAGUUGACACCUUUUUGAUUAUUUCAU
Non-coding RNA from Caenorhabditis elegans, 85 nucleotides. NCBI's taxonomy places the organism in Eukaryota, Metazoa, Nematoda, Chromadorea, Rhabditida, Rhabditidae. The record is from Ensembl.